CCCUAGUGGUCAGUGCGCAUCAUAGCUACCGGUCAUAACGGUUGCUUAGACUUUUAUAUAGAUAGAUAUGUACAUAAAAAAAACUCAGAAUGUGAAAGUAUCCUUGUUUCCAUUUUUGGCUGCAUAAUAUUUUAUUGUAUGGCUAAAUCAACGUUUAUUUAACCAUUUCUCUAUUACUCAACAUUAUUUCUAAUCUUCUGCUUAUACAAACAUCGUAAUGAACACACACCAAUCCACUUGUAGGAAAGACAUGUGAACUGCUGGUCAAAAAGCACGUGCUCAUUGCAUUUAACAAAGACAGUGCCAAAUGAGGGGGCACCUGAGAUGACACAGCUAUCUCAGACCUCCUUGUGUGCCUCUCUCCUCAAGCCCCUUGACUGCCUGCUGCCUCACCUGUGUAUCCAGAGCUGCCUGGUGUGCAGGGUCCAGCACAGCUCCCCAGCCAGCCUUUGGGGUCAGUCAAAACAUGUCUCGGUUUGUCCUGCAGUGGGCUACUCCACCUAGAUGAUGCAGUGAGCCGCCCAACUGCCUCCUCAUGUUCACUCUUGUUUCUUAAUCAGGUUGUUCUCUUUAGAACACCAAAUGGAGGACACCGCAUCAUUCCCUGUUCUGAACCUUUCAGUGGCUUCUGUAGCACUUGGAGCAACAUUCAAGUUCUUUGUCAGACUUACUUGGUCUGAAAUGGCCCUACCUAGUAUUCUUUCCCUCCUCUUUGGCAACAGUACAUUCUCCCAGGCUCACUACCCUCCAGGUACUUUGUCCUGUUUUUGUUCCUUAAACAUGCCAACUCCUUUCCCAGCCCUGGGCCUUUACAAACCGGCUCAUCCCCAUGUCUGGGAGGUUCUCCCUCACUCCUUUGAAGCUUCUCCUUCACAUAUUCUCACUUUCAAGUUUCAGCUUAAAUGUUCUAUUGGGAGAGAGGCUCUUCUGGAUCCUCCCCUUCCAAAUCUUUCCGCCCCACCUGUCACUUAUACCUCUGUCAUCCUCUUUAUCUUCCUGGUGACACUAUCACAGUGUGUGAAGAUCUCUUUCAUUUGUUUGCUUCUUCUCUUACUUGCCAUUUGUCUCCCCAACUAAAACCUCGCAGGCGAUGUGGAGGCUGCAGCAGCCAGACAGAGAUGUGCUGGCUCUCCGCCUCUGGAAAAAGAAGUUCUCUACUUGCCAUCUUCUUAGAAACCUCAGUGCCAUGAGAGCCAAGUGGAGGAAAAAACGAAUGUCAGACUGGAACGCAAAAGAGGAAAGAUGAGGGAGAGGUCUACGUAAAGCCCAGCUUGUGCACCCAUGGAAGCCACAGGAGCAGAAAUAAGGGCAGCCAGAGGCCAGGGACACGGGUACCAAUUGUUGAACUGCAUGCCUGCUGUAUAGAACUUCUCGAUGGAUCUAGAACAUACAUGUCAUCUGAUUGCUGCGACCACCUUUUGAGAGACCCACCUGCUCUUACACAAACAGUCCCCUUUGGUCCUUUGCCCUGGACCAGUGACAUUAUGGACUGUUCUGUUCUCAGUUGUGGCUGCAUGUAACAUGUGUACAAUAAAUCAUCUCUUCUGUCUUAGCUGAAGAAAAAAUUUCUCAUUGGCAA
This is a long non-coding RNA of Myotis myotis, 1579 nucleotides long. RefSeq lists it as uncharacterized. The record is from RefSeq and is a predicted model, not a curated record. Lineage: Eukaryota; Metazoa; Chordata; Mammalia; Chiroptera; Vespertilionidae. The transcript is spliced from 3 exons.